GAAUCCUCCAUAGUCUGAUGAGUGUGGUGUCUGACUCUGGAGCCCAGGCUGUUGCCUCCUGGUCUGGUGAUGAAUCCUCCAUAGUCUGGAAAAGGCUGAGUUUGAGCUAUUUGCCUUUGAGUCAUGGAGACAUCAACAGUAUUUAGGGUACAGGUCCAGGGGAAGAGGGAGAAUGCCUAGAUCCGACUGACCCAGGAGACCUCGGGGCAGCCUCUAGUCCCCCUGUUCAAUCUUAAAGCUACAGUAAUGUGGUACAAGAUAUCAUCUUGCCACUUGUUUGAGGAGCUCAUUCCAAUCCAGUUCCUGACCAGACAGGGCCCUGCCAUUCGUUCCAG
This is a long non-coding RNA of Pongo pygmaeus (Bornean orangutan), 335 nucleotides long. RefSeq lists it as uncharacterized. The record is from RefSeq and is a predicted model, not a curated record. The transcript has 3 exons. NCBI's taxonomy places the organism in Eukaryota, Metazoa, Chordata, Mammalia, Primates, Hominidae.